RNAcentral lists this non-coding RNA (22 nucleotides) under Dasypus novemcinctus (nine-banded armadillo). RNAcentral also lists the same sequence under 18 other names. Lineage: Eukaryota; Metazoa; Chordata; Mammalia; Cingulata; Dasypodidae. The record is from RNAcentral.
GUGAAAUGUUUAGGACCACUAG